This 427-nucleotide ribosomal RNA is filed under the name uncultured bacterium. RNAcentral's name for it is "partial 16S ribosomal RNA". It matches the Rfam family "Bacterial small subunit ribosomal RNA", at positions 355 to 774 of the family's 1533-position model. The record is from RNAcentral.
UGGGGAAUAUUGCACAAUGGGCGCAAGCCUGAUGCAGCCAUGCCGCGUGUAUGAAGAAGGCCUUCGGGUUGUAAAGUACUUUCAGCGAGGAGGAAGGCGUUGUGGUUAAUAACCGCAGCGAUUGACGUUACUCGCAGAAGAAGCACCGGCUAACUCCGUGCCAGCAGCCACGGUAAUACGGAGGGUGCAAGCGUUAAUCGGAAUUACUGGGCGUAAAGCGCACGCAGGCGGUCUGUCAAGUCGGAUGUGAAAUCCCCGGGCUCAACCUGGGAACUGCAUCCGAAACUGGCAGGCUAGAGUCUUGUAGAGGGGGGUAGAAUUCCAGGUGUAGCGGUGAAAUGCGUAGAGAUCUGGAGGAAUACCGGUGGCGAAGGCGGCCCCCUGGACAAAGACUGACGCUCAGGUGCGAAAGCGUGGGGAGCAAACA